This 406-nucleotide ribosomal RNA is filed under the name uncultured bacterium. RNAcentral's name for it is "partial 16S ribosomal RNA". It matches the Rfam family "Bacterial small subunit ribosomal RNA", at positions 30 to 526 of the family's 1533-position model. The record is from RNAcentral.
AUUGAACGCUGGCGGCAGGCCUAACACAUGCAAGUCGAACGAGUGGCGGACGGGUGAGUAAUGUCUGGGAAACUGCCUGAUGGAGGGGGAUAACUACUGGAAACGGUAGCUAAUACAGCAUACCAUCAGAUGUGCCCAAAUGGGAUUAGGUUGUUGGUGGGGUAACGGCUCACCAAGGCGACGAUCCCUAGCUGGUCUGAGCGGAUGACCAGCAACACUUGAACUGAGACACGGUCCAGACUCCUACGGUAGGCAGCAGUGGGGAAUAUUGCACAAUGGGCGCAAGCCGGAUGCAGCCAUGCCGCGUGUAUGAAGAAGGCCUUCGGGUUGUAAAGUACUUUCAGUGGGGAGGCGUUACCCGCAGAAGAAGCACCGGCUAACUCCGUGCCAGCAGCCGCGGUAAUAC